This 1216-nucleotide ribosomal RNA is filed under the name uncultured Rhizaria. RNAcentral's name for it is "SSU rRNA". It matches the Rfam family "Eukaryotic small subunit ribosomal RNA", at positions 577 to 1804 of the family's 1831-position model. The record is from RNAcentral.
CGGUAAUUCCAGCUCCAAUAGCGUAUACUAAAGUUGUUGCAGUUAAAAAGCUCGUAGUUGGAUUUCUGCGGGGACGGAGCGGCCGGACGCAACUUGCGUCUCGAGCUAGCGCUUUCCCCGCAUCCUGCCGCGAACCGUGCUACCAUUAGCUUGGUGGCGCUGGGGAUCGGCUCGAUUACUUUGAGAAAAAUAGAGUGUUCAAAGCAGGCCACACGCCUUGAAUAAGUUAGCAUGGAAUAAUGACUAAGGACUUUGGUUCUUUUCGUUGGUGUUCGGGACUGAAGUAAUGAUUGAUAGGGGCAGUUGGGGCGGUCUGUAUUCCAAAGCGAGAGGUGAAAUUCCUAGACCUUCGGAAGACAAACAGCUGCGAAAGCGUUCCGCAAGGAUGUUCCCUUUGAUCAAGAACGAAAGUUGGGGGAUCGAAGACGAUCAGAUACCGUCGUAGUCUCAACUAUAAACUAUACCAGCUAGGGAUCGGCCAACGUUUAAUUAUUCGACUUGGUCGGCACCUUAUGAGAAAUCAAAGCAUCUGGGUUCCGGGGGGAGUAUGGUCGCAAGGCUGAAACUUAAAGGAAUUGACGGAAGGGCACCACCAGGCGUGGAGCCUGUGGCUUAAUUUGACUCAACACGGGAAAACUUACCAGGUCCAGACAUAGGAAGGAUUGACAGAUUGAUAGCUCUUUCUUGAUUCUGUGGGUGGUGGUGCAUGGCCGUUUUUAGUCGGUGAAGUGAUUUGUCUGCUUAAUUGCGUUAACGGACGAGACCCCAGCCUGCUAAAUAGCGCGGCCGAGCUUUGCUCGGUGCGAGCUUCUUAGAGGGACCAUGAUGCGCGAUAGCACAAGGAAGUUUGGGGCAACAACAGGUCUGUGAUGCCCUUAGAUGUUCUGGGCCGCACACGGGCUACACUGGCGCCUGCAACGAGCAUAUCAGCUGGCCCGAGAGGGUCUUGGCUAAUCUUUGGAACCGGCGCCGUGCUUGGGAUUGGCCAUUGCAAUUGUUGGUCAUGCAACGAGGAAUGCCUUGUAAACGCGAGUCAUCAGCUCGCAUUGAAUACGUCCCUGCCCUUUGUACACACCGCCCGUCGCUCCUACCGAUGAAUGUUCCGAUGAAAUUUUCGGAGAGCGCCAGAGAACGGGGCUCUGCCUUGCAGAUCUGGAGGCUCAAAGUCACUUAAAUCUGAACAUUUCGAGGAAGGAGAAGUCGUAACAAGGUAACC